Passer domesticus (house sparrow) is the source of this 1366-nucleotide long non-coding RNA. RefSeq lists it as uncharacterized. The transcript is spliced from 6 exons. The record is from RefSeq and is a predicted model, not a curated record. Lineage: Eukaryota; Metazoa; Chordata; Aves; Passeriformes; Passeridae.
GAAUGAUGAGACCUUUUAGAAAAUCAUUAGCAGUGCUGUCUUGGCCAGCACCUUAAUUAGACUUUUUAUGAACUUGGGAAUUUCAGUAAAGGUGACAUUUGCAUCAGAGAAUUUUCCCUUUUGUUUUUCAAUAUAUGAUCAUUUAAGAGAAUACAGAUCAUUUAUGCUGGCAUUAAGAGCUUUUCAUUCUUCUCCAGGUUCCAGGUAUCAUUCAUGCAAAUUAAUUCAUACAGCCAUUAAAAAGCCUAUUAAUCUCUUUAAUAUCCAAGAGCCUACUGACUUAAUCAUUUUUACCUUUUGUUAUGUUAGAAGAACUUGCCAGUUUUCUUGCUAUUAACCUACAAAUUUCAUGAUUUCAUCAAGUUAAAGCCCAUUCUUCCAGAGAGAAAGGCAAGGGUGACACAGUUAUGAUAUUCCCAUAUGAGUGGAGUGAUGGCAUUUUUUUCAGUUACAUGAGCACCACUAAUGGUACAAGGCAGACAGCAGUGGAGCAUCAGCCUGCAAAAAUAACACCCCAGGAAAUUUUUUAAGAUCAAUUUGGUUGAAGUGGUGGGUCAAUCAGAAGCCAGCUGCUAUGACAAUAUCUUUGAAAAACCCACAGGACCUGACUGGACCAGUGAUGAAUCACAUGAUGACAAACAGUGUGAAGAGAAGACAUGGGAGUGGAAGCACAUGAGAUCUCUGAUGGUGUUUCCUCUGCACAUUAUCCACUGCCACCACAAAUCAACAUAAACUUCUGACUACUGAGAACAAACUCCUGAAAGUAAUACCAAUACCCAUUUUCUGAAGUCUACCAUUGGAUUCAGCUUUGCAGUUGAAAAGUGUGGAAGCUUCAUCAGAGGCUUUUCUAAAGCAUUUAUGAUUUCAAGCAAGCACACAGCAUUGGAGUGGCUCCUGAUUAAUUAUGACUUGCUGCUGUGAAUUCUGGACCUGGCAUGCAAGAUUUCAAAAGUCUGUCAGGAGUGGCAGUGUAAGCAUCCUGCUGACACUAGAGACCAAAUGUCUCCACGUCUGGUCUACAGUAAAGAGAGAAGGCAAGAGCAAGAGCUAAUGAAUUUCAGAACCUUUCUUCUGUGAUUUAUUGUGAUGUUGAAGGGUCAUUGACUUUGAUAACAGUGGCUUAAGCAGGUUUUUGGGGAAGAAAUAAUAAACUCUGACUGAUGUGAGCUAAUUAAGGUAAAGUGUAGAUGAAAAACACAAAAAAAGUGUUGAGUUGCAAAUUUGUGGAAUCAUGUCCUUAGUUUUAUCGCACAGACAUCUAAAUUUUGUGAACAUUUCUUCUCUCUUUAAUCCCUACACGUAAUUUAGUGUACACAAGUCGCACCUAAGCCUCAGUCAAGUUUUUCACACGCAGAUCCAGACAUAC